CUUGAUGUUGAUCGCAGUUGGUUUUCAAGGAGUGCUGGCUUCAUCGUGCUGGGUCGCGUGACCAGCACCUGCUUUGGGAGCAGGGGGUCGGCGGUUCAAAUCCGCCCAUCCCGA
This 114-nucleotide transfer RNA is filed under the name Acidimicrobiales bacterium. RNAcentral's name for it is "tRNA-Pro". The record is from RNAcentral. Lineage: Bacteria; Bacillati; Actinomycetota; Acidimicrobiia; Acidimicrobiales.